RNAcentral lists this unclassified non-coding RNA (344 nucleotides) under uncultured Bartonella sp. RNAcentral describes it as "partial 16S-23S ribosomal RNA intergenic spacer". The stretch from base 78 to 151 matches the Rfam family "tRNA". The record is from RNAcentral. Lineage: Bacteria; Pseudomonadati; Pseudomonadota; Alphaproteobacteria; Hyphomicrobiales; Bartonellaceae.
AGCCUUUAUUUGGGCUUUUAGGAAAUUUUUUUAUUUUAUAAGAUUAUGCCGGGGAAGGUUUUCCGGUUUAUCCCGGAGGGCUUGUAGCUCAGUUGGUUAGAGCGCGCGCUUGAUAAGCGUGAGGUCGGAGGUUCAAGUCCUCCCAGGCCCACCAAUUUCAUUAAGUGCUUAUAAAGUCAUUAAGUGCUGCUUAUAAAAAUCAUGAAGUUCUUAAAGGUAAGUACUUAUUUAAAAGAAAAGUAAGUACUUAUUAAAAGGUAAGUGGUUAUAAAGCGCUUAUAAUUUAUAUAAAGAUGAAAAUGUGAUGUUUAUCAAUUGCGCUAAAGUGAUUGGAACUCCGCUUU